CAAUAGCGUAUAUUAAAGUUGUUGCGGUUAAAAAGCUCGUAGUUGGAUUUCUGUUGUGGGCAGCCGGUCCACACUAUGUGUGAGUAUCUGGUUCGACCACGGCAUCCUCCUGAGGAACGUUGGUGCGCUUCACUGCGUGGCACGGUAUUCAGGACUUUUACUUUUGAGGAAAUUAGAGUGUUCACGGCAGGCGUUUGCCUUGAAUAUAUUAGCAUGGAAUAAUGAUAUAGGCGAAUGCGUCUAUUUUGUUGGUUUCUAGGCGCAAUCGAAUGAUUAAUAGGGACAGUUGGGGGCAUUCGUAUUAUGACGUCAGAGGUGGAAUUCUUGGAUUGUCAUACGACGAACUACUGCGAAAGCAUUUGCCAAGGAUGUUUUUCAUUGAUCAAGAACGAAAGUAAGGGGAUCGAAGAUGAUUAGAUACCA
This 423-nucleotide ribosomal RNA is filed under the name uncultured eukaryote. Its description in RNAcentral is "SSU rRNA". It matches the Rfam family "Eukaryotic small subunit ribosomal RNA", at positions 592 to 1017 of the family's 1831-position model. The record is from RNAcentral.